GCCAACGUGGCAUAAUGGUUUGAGUGUUAGACUUUGACUCUGAAGACCAGGGUUUGAGUCCCCUCUUGGCC
RNAcentral lists this transfer RNA (71 nucleotides) under Phrynosoma platyrhinos (Desert horned lizard). RNAcentral's name for it is "tRNA-OTHER". It matches the Rfam family "tRNA". Rfam says of the family: Transfer RNA (tRNA) molecules are approximately 80 nucleotides in length. The record is from RNAcentral. Lineage: Eukaryota; Metazoa; Chordata; Lepidosauria; Squamata; Phrynosomatidae.